This 445-nucleotide ribosomal RNA is filed under the name uncultured bacterium. RNAcentral's name for it is "bacterial SSU rRNA". It matches the Rfam family "Bacterial small subunit ribosomal RNA", at positions 477 to 919 of the family's 1533-position model. The record is from RNAcentral.
ACCGGAAUAAGAAGCACCGGCUAACUACGUGCCAGCAGCCGCGGUAAUACGUAGGGUGCGAGCGUUAAUCGGAAUUACUGGGCGUAAAAGCGUGCGCAGGCGGUUUGUUAAGAUAGGCGUGAAAUCCCCGGGGCUCAACCUGGGAACUGCGUUUAUGACUGGCAGGCUAGAGUAUGGCAGAGGGGGUGGAAUUCCACGUGUAGCAGUGAAAUGCGUAGAGAUGUGGAGGAACACCGAUGGCGAAGGCAGCCCCCUGGGCCAAUACUGACGCUCAUGCACGAAAGCGUGGGUAGCAAACAGGAUUAGAUACCCUGGUAGUCCACGCCCUAAACGAUGUCAACUAGGUGUUGGGAGGGUAAAACCUUUUAGUACCGGAGCUAACGCGUGAAGUUGACCGCCUGGGGAGUACGGCCGCAAGGUUAAAACUCAAAGGAAUUGACGGGGC